UUUAGGAUGCUUAGUAUUGAGAAA
RNAcentral lists this non-coding RNA (24 nucleotides) under Gossypium hirsutum (cotton). Lineage: Eukaryota; Viridiplantae; Streptophyta; Magnoliopsida; Malvales; Malvaceae. The record is from RNAcentral.